CCUACGGGUGGCUGCAGUGGGGAAUAUUGGACAAUGGGCGAAAGCCUGAUCCAGCCAUGCCGCGUGUGUGAAGUAGGCCUUCGGGUUGUAAAGCACUUUCAGUGGGGAAGAAAGCCUUGGGGCUAAUACCCUCGAGGAAGGACAUCACCCACAGAAGAAGCACCGGCUAACUCCGUGCCAGCAGCCGCGGUAAUACGGAGGGUGCGAGCGUUAAUCGGAAUUACUGGGCGUAAAGCGCGCGUAGGCGGUCUGAUAAGCCGGUUGUGAAAGCCCCGGGCUCAACCUGGGAACGGCAUCCGGAACUGUCAGGCUAGAGUGCAGGAGAGGAAGGUAGAAUUCCCGGUGUAGCGGUGAAAUGCGUAGAGAUCGGGAGGAAUACCAGUGGCGAAGGCGGCCUUCUGGACUGACACUGACGCUGAGGUGCGAAAGCGUGGGUAGCAAACAGGAUUAGAUACCCUUGUAGUC
RNAcentral lists this ribosomal RNA (465 nucleotides) under Vreelandella stevensii. Its description in RNAcentral is "partial 16S ribosomal RNA". It matches the Rfam family "Bacterial small subunit ribosomal RNA", at positions 338 to 795 of the family's 1533-position model. Lineage: Bacteria; Pseudomonadati; Pseudomonadota; Gammaproteobacteria; Oceanospirillales; Halomonadaceae. The record is from RNAcentral.